Molecule: transfer RNA, 77 nt
Filed under: Clostridiales bacterium
Lineage: Bacteria; Bacillati; Bacillota; Clostridia; Eubacteriales
Description: tRNA-Arg
Rfam family: tRNA
About the family: Transfer RNA (tRNA) molecules are approximately 80 nucleotides in length. Their secondary structure includes four short double-helical elements and three loops (D, anti-codon, and T loops). Further hydrogen bonds mediate the characteristic L-shaped molecular structure. tRNAs have two regions of fundamental functional importance: the anti-codon, which is responsible for specific mRNA codon recognition, and the 3' end, to which the tRNAs corresponding amino acid is attached (by aminoacyl-tRNA synthetases). tRNAs cope with the degeneracy of the genetic code in two manners: having more than one tRNA (with a specific anti-codon) for a particular amino acid; and 'wobble' base-pairing, i.e. permitting non-standard base-pairing at the 3rd anti-codon position.
Source: RNAcentral
GCGCCCGUAGUUCAGCUGGAUAGAACGCUUGUUUCCGAUGCAAGAGGUCAGGGGUUCAAAUCCCUUCGGGCGUACCA